Molecule: ribosomal RNA, 775 nt
Filed under: uncultured Neocallimastigales
Lineage: Eukaryota; Fungi; Neocallimastigomycota; Neocallimastigomycetes; Neocallimastigales
Description: partial large subunit ribosomal RNA
Rfam family: Eukaryotic large subunit ribosomal RNA
Source: RNAcentral
AGAGAGAGACAUGCGCGCAUAUCAAUAAGCGGAGGAAAAGAAACUAACUAGGAUUCCCUCAGUAACGGCGAGUGAAGCGGGAAGAGCUCAAAUUUGAAAUCUUCAAGGUUCUACCUUGACGAAUUGUAGUUUAAAGAAGUGUUUUCUGUUGGAAGUUUUGGUAAAAGUUCUUUGGAAUAGGACAUCAUAGAGGGUGAGAAUCCCGUAUUUGACCAUUACUUUCAACUGUGUGAUACACUUUCAAAGAGUCGGAUUGUUUGGGAAUGCAGUCCAAAAUGGGUGGUAAAUUUCAUCUAAAGCUAAAUAUUGGCGAGAGACCGAUAGCGAACAAGUACCGUGAGGGAAAGAUGAAAAGAACUUUGAAAAGAGAGUUAAACAGUACGUGAAAUUGUCAAAAGGGAAGCGUUUGACACCAGUGUUGUUUUCUCGAAAAUCAAUUAAAAAAGGCAGGAUUUUGUGUUGUAUUGACUUUAUCAGCUUUCUGCACUCUUUUCUUGUCUUUUUUAAUGCACCUUUCGUUUAACAAGUCAACAUCAAUUUCUUUUGUUGUAAAAGGGUCAUUGGAAGGUGGCUUUCUUUUCGGAGAAAGUGUUUAUAGCCUUUGGCCUCUGCAAUCGGAGAGAUUGAGGUCUGCAGCGUAGAUCCUUCGGGGUUAGAUACAUUUGUGCUAAGUUAUAGCCUUUCAUAGACAACUUGUUGACUAUGAUCAGUCAUGUAGCUUACUCGCUUAUGCUAUUUUACCUACGCUUAGGAUGUUGAUGUGAUACUGCGAGCA